UACGGGGGGGGCAAGCGUUGUUCGGAAUUACUGGGCGUAAAGGGCUCGUAGGUGGCCAACUAAGUCAGACGUGAAAUCCCUCGGCUCAACCGGGGAACUGCGUCUGAUACUGGAUGGCUUGAGAUUGGGAGAGGGAUGCGGAAUUCCAGGUGUAGCGGUGAAAUGCGUAGAUAUCUGGAGGAACACCGGUGGCGAAGGCGGCAUCCUGGACCAACACUGACGCUGAGGAGCGAAAGCCAGGGGAGCAAACGGG
This 253-nucleotide ribosomal RNA is filed under the name uncultured bacterium. RNAcentral describes it as "partial 16S ribosomal RNA". It matches the Rfam family "Bacterial small subunit ribosomal RNA", at positions 524 to 776 of the family's 1533-position model. The record is from RNAcentral.